UACCAUGUUGUUCCCACGAUUAAGGGGGAU
This 30-nucleotide small RNA is filed under the name Bombyx mori (domestic silkworm). RNAcentral's name for it is "ovarian small RNA-20628". The record is from RNAcentral. Lineage: Eukaryota; Metazoa; Arthropoda; Insecta; Lepidoptera; Bombycidae.